GAUGAACGCUGGCGGCGUGCCUAAUACAUGCAAGUCGAGCGGACAGACGAGGAGCUUGCUCCCCUGACGUUAGCGGCGGACGGGUGAGUAACACGUGGAUAACCUACCUAUAAGACUGGGAUAACUUCGGGAAACCGGAGCUAAUACCGGAUAAUAUAUUGAACCGCAUGGUUCAAUAGUGAAAGACGGUUUUGCUGUCACUUAUAGAUGGAUCCGCGCCGCAUUAGCUAGUUGGUAAGGUAACGGCUUACCAAGGCAACGAUGCGUAGCCGACCUGAGAGGGUGAUCGGCCACACUGGAACUGAGACACGGUCCAGACUCCUACGGGAGGCAGCAGUAGGGAAUCUUCCGCAAUGGGCGAAAGCCUGACGGAGCAACGCCGCGUGAGUGAUGAAGGUCUUCGGAUCGUAAAACUCUGUUAUUAGGGAAGAACAAAUGUGUAAGUAACUAUGCACGUCUUGACGGUACCUAAUCAGAAAGCCACGGCUAACUACGUG
RNAcentral lists this ribosomal RNA (497 nucleotides) under uncultured bacterium. Its description in RNAcentral is "partial 16S ribosomal RNA". It matches the Rfam family "Bacterial small subunit ribosomal RNA", at positions 28 to 507 of the family's 1533-position model. The record is from RNAcentral.